Molecule: ribosomal RNA, 197 nt
Filed under: uncultured bacterium
Lineage: Bacteria
Description: partial 16S ribosomal RNA
Source: RNAcentral
AUUACCGCGGCUGCUGGCACGUAGUUAGCCGGUGCUUAUUCUUACGGUACCGUCAUGACCCGAGGAUAUUAGCCUCAGGCUUUUCGUUCCGUACAAAAGCAGUUUACAACCCGAGGGCCUUCAUCCUGCACGCGGCAUUGCUGGAUCAGGCUUGCGCCCAUUGUCCAAAAUUCCCCACUGCUGCCUCCCGUAGGAGU